UAGAGUUUAGAGACUUUGGUCUACUACUCCACCCUUUGUUUACAAUACCAUUGUUGCUUUGGCAGGCCUGUUGAAAGACAACUGGCUUUAGCUGGUUAGCGCCUGCCAGAGGACCUAAAACUCAUGUUUAUAUUAUUGUCCGAGUACUAUAUAAUAGUUA
RNAcentral lists this unclassified non-coding RNA (160 nucleotides) under uncultured Alatospora. RNAcentral describes it as "sequence contains ITS1". The record is from RNAcentral. Lineage: Eukaryota; Fungi; Ascomycota.